UGGUUCACCACGCCUCUUUUUUAGCUUCAGAUAUUGGCCUCUGAGGUUCCGACACCGGGAAAGAGCAUAUGGCACGGAAGCCGCCACCCGAGCCUGCCUCGGUUCCCCGCAGGCUCCGGCCGCUGAUCGUCGUGGAGAAUCCGAAGCCGAAGCCAGGAUCCCGUUGCGCCGAGGCGUCCGGAGAAACGGCGGCGGAGUGCGCAGCCAUCUUCUGCUGCUGCCCCUGCGGCCUGGCGAAACUCCUAGUUUUCGCGGUAAUCAAGCUGCCGGAGGGGCUCGUACGGAAGGCCCUGCGACGGAGGAGGAAGCCGAAGAAGAAAGCCACCGGGAUCUGGCGGCCCAAAUACGGCGCCUUGGACGAUGACGACGACUUCAGCGUUCACGGAGGGUUCCUUUUGGCGGCGGCAGGGGCCGGGGAGGCGUGGCCCGCGAAGACGCCGUCUCAGGAGCUGCUGGAGUUGGAGAAGGAGAUGCGGGCGAAGUUUUACGGCGCCGGAUUUUGGCGAAGCGGUUCGCAGAAGGAGUAGAGGCAGCCCUCUUGGCAUUCCGGUGAGAAGGGAAAUGGCUUUUCUCGUGGUACAAGACAGGAGAGGUGGUCCAAGGUGGGAUCUUUUCCACUGCUCUGCUGCUGCUUCGGAUUGCUCGGUUGCAUUCCGACAAGCGAUUUCGUCGAGGAUUAAUGUGUUGCCGUGGUGGACGAGUUGACUCAUCAACACAUAAGUAAUCUGCGUCUCAAAUCGUCGAUGGUUGGAUGCCAAUUAUACUUUACAAUCCUUGGUUUUGGUUUAGAUGUUUUCUUCUGGAGGAAUUAUGCAUGGGUGAGAGGUGGUCUAUUCAGAUUCUUGUAGUAUGAAAAUAAUUUCGAAUGCACAUUUCCAUAAAGUUCGAUAAAUGUUUGGUAUGGAAUGUUCUUUGAAGUUCUCGAAUGAAUAUAGAAUCGAUUUGGCAAAAAAUAUGAUACACUGUAAUUAAUUUUAUAUUAUUAUCAUUUUGGAAUCGACGGGAGAUUCUAUCCGAUUCAUCUUAUCAUAACCGAUUCAUCUUUAUCAUUCUACGUCAUCUAAAGACAUACUAGCGUGCAUUGUGUUGGUGUGGAAAGUAAGGUUUAAACUAUAGAUCCCAUCCUUUCUCGAUUAUUUGCAGUAGAAACAGGAAUGGGGAGGAAAGACGGGAAGAGACAACUGACACGCUGUCUCCAAUCCCUCUCUCUCUCUCUCUCUCUCUCUCUGUGGCUCCCUUGUCGACGCCCAACGCAUCGCAUCGUCGAUUCCCAUUGCCUUUGGCGGUGACUGGGUCGCAUCGUGGCGCCUCGAUCUUCUCAGCACCAAUGUGGAGGCGAUUCGUGUGAGGCGUUGCUUUGAUCGCUUGUUUGUUUCGGAUUGUGCUAUUCCAUCUUUGAUCGCACUUGCGGUCGAUCGAUCUAUUGUUUGCCCUAAUCUUGUACUUGUUUCUUUUGGGUUCUUGAUGAUAUUGGAGCUUCUGUUCUUCGGCGCCUGCCGUAUAAGGGAAUUCUUCGUAUAAUUUUCGUAAUUUGUGGCGUAAUUGUUGAUUUGAGUUUGUCGUCUGCAUUGAUUUAAGUUCAGGGGUGAUACGAUCCUAGUUCGAUUUGGUGAGGCACUGGUUUUAUAUGUAUUUUUUAGGAAGAAUGCGUUCGGAGAAUGCUGCGACAGUUUGUCCUAUCUCUAGCUUCUCUUGAUCGAUCUUUUGCCCUGUCUGUUCUAGUUGAUACGAGGUUCUACAUAGGGUUUCGGGACUGCAAAGAGGGACAGCCAUUUGCCAUCUGCUCGGACUCCUGUGGAAGGGGGAGUUCAGGAUGCUUGUGGUGAUGCAUGCAGCAUCCGUCUUGAACCCCUCUGCGAAAUUGAUCCUUCAACGGUAUGGUGUCUUUUGUAUUUUUGUUUUUCUUUCUAUUCGUGUAAGUGAUGGUUAACCUUUUUCCUGCCUCUACUCUGUAGGUGUCCUCUUGUCAUUUCCUUGAUUGUUGUUCUUCAGAUUACUUGGUGCAAGUAUGAGUUCCAAUCUACAAUGUAUUUUGAGCAUGCGGACUAUAGUCUUGUAAAAGUUUUUAAUCGAAAGAUACGGCCAUCAUAUAUUUGUUGUUGUGAUUGGACUACUUGUUUUGAGGUGCCAACUUUGAUAGUAGUUGAACAAGCUUGGCUUUUCUCUUUGGACUCUCUUUGCUUGAUGAUUUAUGUUAGCUAUUAUCCAUGCCAUAUGCUAGGUUUUUUUGUACAAUAUGCUUGAAAUAUCUAUGAUCUCAGUGUUCUUGAGAAAGCUAUGAUUCCUAUUCCUGUUGGAUGUAUUUGUUGAAUGUAUUUGCUGUUUCAAACUCCUUCAUUUUUAAGUUCAAGUUCUCUUCAAUUAUUUCACUACUAGGUGCCAGAGAAAAUCUCGGUGUCCCAUGUGUUGGCGGUCCAUCAGUUUGAAGGAUCCCACCUGGUUCAUAUGAAUUGGGUAAUCUUGCAAUGUGUGCUCUAACUGUUGCUAUGGCUAAGAGGUUUUGAUUUCUUUCUGAUGAUUUGUCAGCCAGGAACUACUAGAGGCCGUAGAAAGGGAAAGCAGCAUUAGACUUGACCGUGCAACGACCACCACAAUUUUUCAUCAUCCAGUGCAUGGAGAUUUCAAUUUGCAACAUCAUGUACAGAUUCUUUCUUUCUCGCCUAUUCAUGGCAAUUGCCAGUUGCUGGAAGUGAUGAAGAAUUUGAAGAGCAUAUUAUCCAGCACUUUGUUGCUGCUGCUGCCAUGGGACGAGCACGCCACAUUGCUUGAAGAGGUCGGCUUAGAUCAGGAUCUCAUGAUCACCUGCAGUAUCUGGUUUUCUCCACAAAUUCAAUUGCAUCGUCUGUGGGCUUAACAUCUUCCUCAGCACCAAAAGGGGAAAAUGAAAUAGCUCCUGCAACAGUUGUUGCUAACCCGUCAUCUCCAAUAAGUAAUCCAGGAGGGGAUUCUGCCGAAGUAACAAAUAUUAUGCUGGCUCAUGCCAGUAACAAAUAUUCUUACUUCAAGUCCAAGCAAACCUGCUGGCCAGUCAAAUCUUCGGCUAACCAAGAUGGACCAGAACCAUCAGACUUCCAAUUGUUCUCAGAAUCUAUGAAAUCUCGUCUGAAUGCAGUUUCACCGAGGUAAUUCAGAGCUUAUGUGCUGUUUUCAGUAUCGUGGCAAUGCGGAUGCGGGUUGUCUCCUUCACAUUUUGUUGCAAUAGGUACAAAGAAUCUGUUGCUAAGAGCACUAAAGGAAGGAGGGAGAGGCUAUUUUCACGUAGGAACUCUGUGGCGGGUAUUGGUUGUGAAGUUCGGAGACAAGUUGGUGUUGGAAUUGGUAACAUGUCAAUGUCAUAGAAAUCAGAUGAAUGAUACCAGAAUACACAACUGUUAUGAUUUCACUACACCAUUGUGCCUUUGAUUUUGUUCAAGGGUCUCUUUCAAUGCAGAAAGGUGUUAGGCGCUAUAAGGCGUCAAUCAGCCAAAGCACAAAGGCUCUCUUUUAAUAUUGUUUCAAAUAUGGGUGACGUGGUGGUAUGUGUCAUGGAGUUAGAGUGAAAUUUGAUAGAUCCAGCUCAUCGACCCCAGGAUGCAUGCCACCAUGAAUGACACCUGUUCUAAUCUCGAUGAGUAAUUAUACUUUCUAAGUCACACCUUAGCACGACAUCAUGAAGAUGAAGA
This is a long non-coding RNA of Musa acuminata AAA Group (dessert banana), 3662 nucleotides long. RefSeq lists it as uncharacterized. The transcript is spliced from 3 exons. The record is from RefSeq and is a predicted model, not a curated record. NCBI's taxonomy places the organism in Eukaryota, Viridiplantae, Streptophyta, Magnoliopsida, Zingiberales, Musaceae.